Molecule: long non-coding RNA, 677 nt
Organism: Mytilus californianus (California mussel)
Lineage: Eukaryota; Metazoa; Mollusca; Bivalvia; Mytilida; Mytilidae
Exons: 4
Source: RefSeq, a predicted model, not a curated record
UUUAAAUAGAUUUUAGGAAAGGAACACUAUUAUUGCAAAUAGAGUUCGUCAAAUCCUUAUAAAAUCUUUUUCAUAUUGUUUCCAGUCUUAAAAAUCAAGAUGAAAUUAUCUGGAGCCAUAUUAUUUGUUGUAACAAUCAACGGCCUUUCCGAUGCCUUCCAACUUUCGAAAGACGCAAAAGGUGAAAAUGCCCUGGUUCUCAAUGAGACAACAGAUAAAAAUGGAUUUCUUCGAGAAAAUAGAUUGCGAAAAAGGUCUAGUUCAGAUGACGUUGAUAUCAAAGCAGUUGAUAUGUCUUUAUCUUUGCAACGUCAAACAAUACAAUAUGCAAGACAGGGUACAGAUCGUUUUAGCAGUAGGGCCGAUAUUGCAGAAUAUAUUAAGGACAACCUAGAUGGACAUGGUGGCGGAAAGUAUCAUUGCAUUGUUGGAACAUCUUUUGGGUACUCCAUUACGUUUCAUCAGAGAUAUUAUUUUUAUUUCAAACUGGGUGAUUAUUACAUAUUGGUAUUCAGACAUUGACAAAUAUAUAUGCCAAAAGCUUAAUACGUGAAACUGUGACUUCAUAACAUUAACUGCUUGUUCAGUUACCAAAUGUCAUUUUAGCAACAUUUCGUAUAGUAUCUAUUAUUUUCCCUGUAUACUGUUUAUAACUAAUAAAACAUUUUUAAAAUACA